Molecule: ribosomal RNA, 253 nt
Filed under: uncultured bacterium
Lineage: Bacteria
Description: partial 16S ribosomal RNA
Rfam family: Bacterial small subunit ribosomal RNA
Source: RNAcentral
UACAGAGGUGGCAAGCGUUGUUCGGAAUUACUGGGCGUAAAGGGCUCGUAGGCGGCCAACUAAGUCGGAUGUGAAAUCCCCAGGCUCAACUUGGGAACUGCAUCCGAUACUGGAUGGCUUGAAUUCGGGAGAGGGAUGCAGAAUUCCAGGUGUAGCGGUGAAAUGCGUAGAUAUCUGGAGGAAUACCGGUGGCGAAGGCGGCAUCCUGGACCGACAUUGACGCUGAGGAGCGAAAGCUAGGGGAGCAAACGGG